Molecule: ribosomal RNA, 498 nt
Filed under: uncultured bacterium
Lineage: Bacteria
Description: partial 16S ribosomal RNA
Rfam family: Bacterial small subunit ribosomal RNA
Source: RNAcentral
GAUGAACGCUGGCGGCAUGCCUUACACAUGCAAGUCGAACGGUAUCGCGGGGCAACCUGGCGACGAGUGGCGAACGGGUGAGUAAUGCAUCGGAACGUGCCCAGUAGUGGGGGAUAGCCCGGCGAAAGCCGGAUUAAUACCGCAUACGACCUACGGGUGAAAGGGGGGGAUCGCAAGACCUCUCGCUAUUGGAGCGGCCGAUGUCAGAUUAGGUAGUUGGUGGGGUAAAGGCCUACCAAGCCGACGAUCUGUAGCUGGUCUGAGAGGACGACCAGCCACACUGGGACUGAGACACGGCCCAGACUCCUACGGGAGGCAGCAGUGGGGAAUUUUGGACAAUGGGCGCAAGCCUGAUCCAGCCAUGCCGCGUGCAGGAAGAAGGCCUUCGGGUUGUAAACCGCUUUUGUCAGGGAAGAAAUCUUCUGGGUUAAUACCUCGGGAGGAUGACGGUACCUGAAGAAUAAGCACCGGCUAACUACGUGCCAGCCGCCGCAGUAA